This 651-nucleotide ribosomal RNA is filed under the name uncultured Azospira sp. Its description in RNAcentral is "bacterial SSU rRNA". It matches the Rfam family "Bacterial small subunit ribosomal RNA", at positions 28 to 674 of the family's 1533-position model. The record is from RNAcentral. Lineage: Bacteria; Pseudomonadati; Pseudomonadota; Betaproteobacteria; Rhodocyclales; Rhodocyclaceae.
AUUGAACGCUGGCGGCAUGCCUUACACAUGCAAGUCGAACGGCAGCGGGUCCUUCGGGAUGCCGGCGAGUGGCGAACGGGUGAGUAAUGCAUCGGAACGUACCCAGUAGUGGGGGAUAACUUACCGAAAGGUAAGCUAAUACCGCAUACGCACUGAGGUGGAAAGCAGGGGACCGCAAGGCCUUGCGCUAUUGGAGCGGCCGAUGUCGGAUUAGCUAGUUGGUGGGGUAAAGGCCUACCAAGGCGACGAUCCGUAGCGGGUCUGAGAGGAUGAUCCGCCACACUGGAACUGAGACACGGUCCAGACUCCUACGGGAGGCAGCAGUGGGGAAUUUUGGACAAUGGGCGCAAGCCUGAUCCAGCCAUGCCGCGUGAGUGAAGAAGGCCUUCGGGUUGUAAAGCUCUUUCGGCCGGGAAGAAAUCGUGGUGGCGAAUACCUGCCAUGGAUGACGGUACCGGACUAAGAAGCACCGGCUAACUACGUGCCAGCAGCCGCGGUAAUACGUAGGGUGCGAGCGUUAAUCGGAAUUACUGGGCGUAAAGCGUGCGCAGGCGGUUGUGUAAGACAGGCGUGAAAUCCCCGGGCUCAACCUGGGAAUGGCGCUUGUGACUGCACGGCUGGAGUGCGGCAGAGGGAGGUGGAAUUCCACGU